UACAGAGGUCCCAAGCGUUGUUCGGAUUCAUUGGGCGUAAAGGGUGCGUAGGCGGCGCGGUAAGUCGGGUUUGAAAUCUCGGGGCUUAACUCCGAAACUGCAUUCGAUACUGCCGUGCUUGAGGACUGGAGAGGAGACUGGAAUUUACGGUGUAGCGGUGAAAUGCGUAGAUAUCGUAAGGAAGACCAGUGGCGAAGGCGGGUCUCUGGACAGUUCCUGACGCUGAGGCACGAAGGCCAGGGGAGCAAACGGG
This 253-nucleotide ribosomal RNA is filed under the name uncultured bacterium. RNAcentral describes it as "partial 16S ribosomal RNA". It matches the Rfam family "Bacterial small subunit ribosomal RNA", at positions 524 to 776 of the family's 1533-position model. The record is from RNAcentral.